This 21-nucleotide non-coding RNA is filed under the name Caenorhabditis elegans. The record is from RNAcentral. Lineage: Eukaryota; Metazoa; Nematoda; Chromadorea; Rhabditida; Rhabditidae.
UCAAUAUGUUGUUGUCUGUGA